This is a long non-coding RNA of Lathyrus oleraceus (garden pea), 4416 nucleotides long. RefSeq lists it as uncharacterized. NCBI's taxonomy places the organism in Eukaryota, Viridiplantae, Streptophyta, Magnoliopsida, Fabales, Fabaceae. The record is from RefSeq and is a predicted model, not a curated record. The transcript has 3 exons.
GAAAAAUAAAAAUAGGGAGGGAAAAUAACAAAUGGCGGCAAGUUGCAAGAACGACACUUGUUUUGCGUACUCCUCACUCUUUCAAACCCUAAUUCUCUAUCAUUUCAUCUUCCUACUUCUCUCUACCAAAUUCUCCCCAAUUUUUCCUCAUCACCUUCUUCGGAUGCUACGAAAAUCUCCGGUUAUUUAGAAAUCGAAGAUCUCGCACUCUAGCUCCCGGUACAGUUAACAUCUCUCGCACUUUCAGUUAUGAUUAUGGUUUGAUGUGAUUGAUGCUAAUGGUUUGAUACUAAACAUAGUAACGGUCCAGGUAAACCAAGUGAAUCCAAUACUCCAACCCUAAUCAAUUAGUAGGUUUAGGAUUUUUCUUUGCUAGGGUCAAAUCCAAACCAAACCGAUGAAAGUCAUGCUCAACCCGGGAUCAAGUAACAAGUUCUAACUUUCGAACACAUGAAUUCGAUCACCCGACUCAUAUAAUUGUUUUUACUUUUCAAUAUUUUUCUUAUUUAGUUAAGUAGCUGAGAUGUUUUUUUUUAAAAAUCAUUUUAGAUUUGUUAAAAUUGAUAAAGAUGUUUUACACAUUUUCUCUAGCCAUCUGGAUUAAGUUGGAUGCACCAGGGAUCAUCAUUCUACAUUUGGUUAUUGUUUUCUAAUUGGAGAGAAUCUUAUUUCUUGGCAAAAGCAAGAAGAAGAGUACUAAUGUUAGAUUUGGCGCAAAGAUUGAAUACCAACUACCAAACUAUGGAAGAAUCAUUAAUGAUUUUGCAAAAAAACUUCAUAGUGAAUGAUAUUUAAAUAGUUAUAAAGACACCAUCUUCUUGGUUCUCCCAGGGCACUCAAUUUAUAAGGACUGGCCCUGACUUGUCUAUGCCUGUGAUGAUCUAGUCCUCACAUAUUAAAUAUCUCGGUUGAUAGGAGGUGCCAAGGUCAAUACCACUAGUUGCAGGAUUUCACAUCCUAAACAGAAAAGUAUUGUACUUUUUUCAUCCCUUGCUGUGUGCUUGUUUCACAUUUGCGAAAGAAUAGUUGAAGAUACAAAAGUAGGCUAGUUGUUGAUCACCUGUCACUCUGGCGGCAAUCCCAUCUGGUGUUGGGACAGUUUGAUCUUCAAUAUUAGCUUUUGUGGGUAAAUUUCCUAGCGACAUUUCCCAUUAUUCUCGUUUUCACUUUUUUGUCUUUGCAAAUUUACUUUCUAUAAAAUGGAAUCUGGCAAAAAGUGGGCGAGGUGAACGUUUUUGUUGAUCAAAUCCCCUAACGCAAACAAAUCCUGAAAUGAAGUAUCAAAAUGUUAAUAGGCAUGACAAGAUUGAACAUUGAUAUUUCUUAGAUGCAUAUGGGAACUACACUUAUUUUAACAAUGGAUGGUACUCAUGAUGUUUUUAGGGAACUAUUGGCUGACUAGGCUGAUAUUGAGUCAUUCCAGAAUGAUGCGCAGACACACAUUUGGAUCCAUCUUUUGAUUGGGAGUUUAUUGCUUUUGGAAUCAUUGUGUGAGUGUAGAUGAUAGCUAAUGUGCCAUGUUGAAAACCAAUUGAAAUGGUUUUUCUUUCAUAUGUUAUCAAAAUUUUGCAGAGUAAUAAGAGAAAAAAUAAAACAAAUAUUUUACGGCAGUCUGCAUACCUCUCCAAAAGCAAUGCUGAAUUUCUGGGGUUGAUAGACCUAGUAGACAUAAGAGUUUUUUGUGAGUACUCUUAACUUCUCAGACAAAACGGUUUAGAAUAGAUAUUAGUAGAUGAGCAUGUGGAUUUUUCCCCCUACCUUUGAAAAUUGACGAUACAGAGGUUCCAAAGUAUACUGUCCUCCUUGGCAAAUUCCAUAUCCAUGCCCUAGGGAUAUCUAUGGGCUCAAUGCUGGAUGCGUGGUCCGCAAAUAACUUCAUGAUAAAAAAAGGUUUUUAUAGAUCCUUGGUAGUGAAUAUUGAAAUUUAAAACAAGGGUAUAUCUGUCUAGGUUACUGAACAGUAACAGAACAUAAUUUUCACUCACCUCAUUAACUUGAAAGUAAGUUCCGUUGAGUGGAAAGCUUCCCCUUGUUGCUGUUCUACACGGUAUCUGUAUACGGGAUAACAUUUGUGAAAGUUAUUACAAAAUUUAUAAGGUUAGGAAAUAGUUCUUUCAUUGCCCUGUCCGUAUCCAGAAAUUAUUAAUCAUUACCAGAAUUGUUCCUCUCACAAUUUGUGAAUUAGCUUCUCUAAUGCUAUUGCAUGAAAAGCAUGUGUUGUCAUUGCACAGGCUGGUUGAGUCUUGCGAUCCACACUUCCUUUGCGGCGGUUCAAUGGAAUUUGCAGUCUCACCUAGUAUUUAAAUUUCAUAAAUAUGAGCGUGAACAUUUUAUCUUUGAUCUAACAUAUACGGAGUAUGAUCUUUCUUAUGCUUAAAUUUUUUCUUUUCAAUUUGUCCGUUUUAGAUGUACUUGUCCUUGUGCUUUGGUUUUAGUAUAGGAGUAGCUUUUGGUGACUAUUCUUUGCAUAUUGUAGUUAUUAUUAAUGAUUAAGUAUUACUCGAGUUUAUUACAAGUAUCAUCUGCUAACCUGGUGACCAUAUUGCAAGAAGAUACGGGCUUGGGUCAUCUGGUUCCCGCUUAUCCAUCUGUACAUUUUUGUACAUAAACAAAUAUAAAAAAAAUAUCCCAAUCUGAUAACUGAAUGUUUCAGUACAGAGAAAAGAAUAACUAACCUUUUCCAACAGAGGGUGUGAAUCUGGAAGUUCAUAUCUGCAGCAAUCAGGGGAUGUUAGAAAGCAUCAUUUGAAUUUCCAUUAAGAAAACAGAUCAGUCAUACAGUCUAGAGAGUCAAGGAAUUUAUAAUGAGUUUACUUAUGACAAUGACUAUAGUGAUGUCAUUUAAAAUAUAGAUUUUCUAGGCCUAGAAAUCAGAAAGGUCCGACAACACCAUAUCAUUUUGGACUUACAUUUUGAGAAUGAAUAUCCAAAUGCUUUGCAUCUCCAAAAAUACUUAAUUUAAACAAUUUAGAAAAUCAUAUGUAUGAAGGUAAUAUAUAAUUAUAUUCAGGACCGGUAAGCCCGUGGAUGAUGAUUUAGUUUCUGCAUUUUGGUUGCUCAACUUGAAAUUAACUCAGUCCAAACGAAAGUCCGAUUGAGUUAAAUUUUCUAGGACACUUGUAUGUUGCUCAAUUAGAAAAAUAUAAAAGAAAACUAUUUAAUUAUUUAGCUGGAUUUGUGUUUUAAUGGCAAGAUGGUUUGCUGCUGUUGCAUGUAAUGCUAGUACUUACACUUGAUGUUCUGUUCUUAGCCGGCUCACAUUCUUCAGUUUUGGUGUCGGGAUGGAAGCAGACUGUGGAUUCCAGGCAACAAGGGCCUUAGACUGGUCACCUUCAUGUUCUUGCAUGUGGUUCUGUAAACUCUUCGCAAACACUUCGAGAUUGACAUUGAUAGUAGGAAUUUCAUCAGGAUCCUCCCAAAAGAAGUCCUCAAUGUCACUUUCUAAUGCCUCUGUACUCUGUUCUGGUGUUGCUGGUUCUUCAAUGAUUGGCUCACACUGCUUGCUUUGAGGACACACUUCAAUGCUCAUGUUGUUCCCAGGGAGAGAUAGGAUCACCGGGUUUAAAUUUGGAGGGUUUCUCUCAUCUGCAAUGGGAACAGGCAUGCUCACAAUUUGCUUCUCUUCUGGUCCUGGCAAGGCAAGCCGUGCACUGUACUGAAAGGAUUUUAGGGAAGUUAUGAUAUUACAAGGUUCUUUGAUCAAGUUUGCACAAUCUUGGCCAAAGAUACUUUUGAAUAGACUCUAGCACUGGAUACCUGCACAGAAUAGUAGUUAGCAGUUUCUAUCUGUGGUAUGUUUAUCUUCUUACUGGCUGUCAAUAAGAUACUUACAGUUCAAGGAGGUGUAUUUGUAGUUUUUCAGGAAGUGGUUGGAGAGGAACCCAUCCAAGUCUAACAGCUAUCCUUCCAACAUUGGUGUCAACCUUCAAGGCAUGAGCAUAGCAACAUGUUAUUGCAAGGGUUUUAAUGAUUUGCAUACUAGUAAGCAGGAAAUGGAUUUCAAAUUAGCCUUACCGGGAAAGCAAGAUGAUGAAGUGUCAGAAGCCGUACACAUUCCACACUUUUUAACCCCAACCCUCUCAUGCUCAGCAGAUAGUCCCUGCAUUUGAUAUUGUAUAUGGAAACCAGAAGAAAGGACAUGGUUAAUAUGCAUUAUAUUCUGUUAUUUGCUGGCAGUGUCUGCUAAAUAGAAACUUUCUUAGAAGGAUAUUGGUUAAUGGUGAUAAAAGAUUUUGGCUUACUUUACUUUAUCAGGGGGAGCAUGUCUUAACCAUUCAAGGUCAAUGCUUCCAUGAUCUCUAACCAGUCUAUCCAGGAAUUCCUGACAUGACAUAAAAGUAUUAUAUCUCAGUAUAUUGUAUUUUAGUUAUAAAAUUCAGUGUUCUACAAACUCGAGUGGUUGGACAUACCUUGAUU